GAAGUGCGAUAAGCAAUGCGAAUUGCAGAACCGUGAGUCAUCAGAUUUUUGAAAGCAACUGGCGCCGGUUGGCUCUCCAACCGGCAUGCUUGUUUCAGUGUCUCUUUAUCUCAUCACCCAUAUCAUAAUGCGAGAGAUACCCUUCUCUUGCUAAGCUCGAAAGCACUCUGCGCUCUGCGAGCGGCUUCGACUUGUUCGAGGGUCGCACUCAAUGCAGCCGUCACAUUGCUCACAAUGUGAACUCAUUGAGAGCUGAGGCAGUGUAGCGUAAGCUACCAGUGCUUAGUCACACAAACUUUACUUGCAUCUGAAAUCAAGCAGGAUCACCCGCUGAACUUAAGC
This 342-nucleotide unclassified non-coding RNA is filed under the name plant metagenome. RNAcentral describes it as "partial contains 5.8S ribosomal RNA, internal transcribed spacer 2, and large subunit ribosomal RNA". The stretch from base 1 to 103 matches the Rfam family "5.8S ribosomal RNA", at positions 50 to 154 of the family's 154-position model. The record is from RNAcentral.